This 324-nucleotide ribosomal RNA is filed under the name uncultured eukaryote. RNAcentral describes it as "partial 18S ribosomal RNA". It matches the Rfam family "Eukaryotic small subunit ribosomal RNA", at positions 1470 to 1796 of the family's 1831-position model. The record is from RNAcentral.
CCCUUAGAUGUUCUGGGCUGCACGCGCGCUACACUGAAGCUAUCAACACGUUUUCCCUCCCUGAGAAGGGCGGGUAACCUUUUGAAUCAGCUUCGUGGUAGGGAUCGGGGCUUGCAAUUGUUCCCCGUGAACCUGGAAUUCCUAGUAGACGCGAGUCAUAAGCUCGCAUCGAUUAAGUCCCUGCCCUUUGUACACACCGCCCGUCGCUACUACCGAUUGAACGUUUUAGUGAGGCAUUUGGACCGACGCAUCUCAGUUUAACCGCUGGUUUGUGUUGGAAAGACUUCCAAACUUGAGCGCUUAGAGGAAGUGAAAGUCGUAACA